Molecule: long non-coding RNA, 2791 nt
Organism: Anguilla rostrata (American eel)
Lineage: Eukaryota; Metazoa; Chordata; Actinopteri; Anguilliformes; Anguillidae
Exons: 4
Source: RefSeq, a predicted model, not a curated record
AGCCUAUCCGGCACCCUGACGUCAGGACGCAAUCACUCACGUAGUAAAAUAUGGAGAGCUUGGGCGAGUACUAUUUUUACAUCUUCCUACUGGACCCCCAAAUCUACGCGCGGCACCGUCCGCACGUAUGCAGGCGUAGGUCUUCGGCGAGGGGGAGCUAUGUUGUUUGGAGCGAGGAUGAAGCCGUUGAAUGGAGAAGAAUAUUCCAGCCUGCGCGAGAUUACGCCGGUAGAAUCCAAGAUGUAUCCGCUUAACCCCACGCAAAGCGACGUGAACCCAAAACCUAGUUUCAGUAACCGUCUUGCAGCUCUCUUGAGCACGGGAGCAUCCGAAUGGUUCCCAAGCACCUUUCGGUGGCUGUCGGCUUCGCCUUUAUUUUCCUUUAGUGUUCUAUCCUCCAUCUCUGUCAAUGUCAGUCACAUUUUCGUCUCCUCCUUCCUGCGCAGCUUUUUGGUCCGCAUCACGUGUAAAGGAAUAACAAGCGCGUGCACCAUUGUCGUGUUCAUUUGGUUUUAUUCUAACGUCUGUAGCCCGAAAGACUCGCUCGCGUGCUAUUUAAGGUGGCGGGGAUGCCUUUCUAACUGAAGCUGCGUAUUCCGGUCCUUUACUCUCGUGGUCGUGCCAAACUGGGCACGAACAAUUCCGUCACGAGGCACUGGAACGGUGCCAUGGACGCUGUCAGACGGACUACGUUCAUUGAACGAAGGGGGAAAAGUUAACCCGAAAUAUUAGAAAAUAAUUGUACGGACCGUGGUAUCUGUGAAGAAUGUGUGUUUUUAAUUAAGCAUUUUAGAGACAGAAUAGAUAUGCUAGCGUGCCUUUAUUGAACUAUACCACUACAUCACUGUAAAGAGGCCGUCCCCGAACUGUGACAAUCGUCGUAAUGGGCGGUGGAAGUUGCUGGGCUAUGUGUCGAGUUCACGUAUAACGGGUAAACGCUAGCCUAUCUAGCACUGCCUAUAGCUUUUUUGUCCUGUAAAUAGGGGCACAUUUUCGGUUGUGCGGAAUUAAUAAGUCCCCCUCGCUGCUGUUAGUCACCUCCCCUUCCCCCCCCCCCCCUCUCUCUCUCACGCACACACACACCCACACCCACCCACCACACACACACACACACACACACACACACACUACUUCAGCUGCGCAUAUGCCUUGCCUAACAAAACGAUUCAGGAACAGGACGUAACAAGGAAAGAAAAAAAAACCUUCACACACAGCUGGAACAAAAGACUGAAUUUCACAAUGAAUUGGGGGAGCUACUCGGUUUGGGUUUCUGCGCACGUUCACGGCGGCCGGGUUGAGUGGAGGGACCAACAACAGACUUCAACAGAUACUCUCCGAGGCGGUGAGAAAAUACGACCUCGGCCUGGAUGCUAACAGAAUUCGGAGAAGCUCGUGGCUCAAAACUCUGUCUCGGGCCAGUCAAGCACGAGUAAUCUCCGGGUUUGAAAUAAACUGCUCUGGAUGGGACAGACUCAAAAAAUACCGUCCGUGGUCCUGCGAAGUAGCGCUUUAAAGACAAGCCGCAUUGUUAUUAACUUUUUUUAUCUUUUAUCCUUGCUGUUUGUUGGCUUUUUUCUCCUCCGAUGGACGUCGUUCUGUAGUACAGGUGUUCAGACGGUAAUUGCCGAAAUCCAAGCGUUUUUCCUGUUUAUAAAAAAGAAAAAAACAAAGUGCUGAAAUUUGGGACGUGUUGUCGUUAUUUUGGAUUAUGCCACAGAUCCUCCAUGAAGUGGGUCGGUGGAGACAGGGAUGAGGAGGUUGAACUGGCCCAGGAAUCGCCCACAUCAGAGACGGAAGUUAGAGCAGGUGGUGCAGGGUACCUGGACUGUCAGUGACUCCCCCCGCUCUGGAAAAAGGCAGUCACUGCACCUCCGCAGGUGAGGGAGCACCUGGCAGCCAGUCCACCUGGAACACCUGCAGGUCCGUCUUUGCAGGAGGAGGAAGAGGAGGAGGAGGAGGAGGACUGAAGAGGCCGCGUUUCAGAGGGAACCUCCUGGGGGGUCAGGAUGGAACCUCAUGAAGCAUCAUCCCUCUAUCCCUCCAUCUCUCCUCUGCCUCCUGCCUUCCCCCCCCCCCCCCAGGAAAGGAAGUGAUGGAGAGGGGGGAGGGGAAAUGAGCUCACUUCCUCUCUGCUGACGUCACAGUGGAGUGACUGGAGGGAUCGAUACAGAGGCGGGGGGCUGAUUGGGGGGGGGGUUGGGGGGGUGCUGAACAGUACCCCAUGGCUCUGCUUUGGGCCCCUGUCCUACAGCUGAAACCUCGCCCUGGACCCCUCCCCCCCCAGCCUGCACCUGUGUAUUUUUGUUGCAGGGUGCGGGAGAGACCUUACUUAAAAGAACAUCACAACACCCCACUCUCACUGCCCCCGGUUGCCAUAGGCACUGUUUUCUGUGGUUCGGUUUUCCUGUGCACAAACCAGCGUGCCAUUAGGACAGAGGAAGGCCUUUUUUGGACCAUGAAAGUCCAAAAGCAAAAAAAAAAAGCAAAACUACCAGGAACUCUGAUCCAGUGAAAUCUCGCCUGGAGAGGAUUGGUCCAAUCACGCGCUGGCGUUUGCGUCGGACUGCUGGAGGGAAUCUGGGGAACGGGUUCGGACCUGGGACGUCCUGCCUGAGGAGGGGGAGGUUUUCGGAGCGUGAGGAACGUCCCCUCGGGCUUCUGGCACAGGUGGUGUCAGGGGAUUCGUCGAGAAACUAGCCAACCAGGCGAGGCCGUGCACAUCGGAGAGUGACCUCAGAAGCCCAUCAGCACACCUCAGUCUCUGGAAUUGUUGGAAGAUCCGAGAUUCCAA